GACGAACGCUGGCGGCGUGCUUAACACAUGCAAGUCGAACGGAAAGGCCCUGCUUUUGUGGGGUGCUCGAGUGGCGAACGGGUGAGUAACACGUGAGUAACCUGCCCUUGACUUUGGGAUAACUUCAGGAAACUGGGGCUAAUACCGGAUAGGAGCUCCUGCUGCAUGGUGGGGGUUGGAAAGUUUCGGCGGUUGGGGAUGGACUCGCGGCUUAUCAGCAUGUUGGUGGGGUAGUGGCUUACCAAGGCUUUGACGGGUAGCCGGCCUGAGAGGGUGACCGGCCACAUUGGGACUGAGAUACGGCCCAGACUCCUACGGGAGGCAGCAGUGGGGAAUAUUGCACAAUGGGCGGAAGCCUGAUGCGGCAACGCCGCGUGCGGGAUGACGGCCUUCGGGUUGUAAACCGCUUUCGCCUGUGACGAAGCGUGAGUGACGGUAAUGGGUAAAGAAGCACCGGCUAACUACGUG
RNAcentral lists this ribosomal RNA (468 nucleotides) under uncultured bacterium. Its description in RNAcentral is "partial 16S ribosomal RNA". It matches the Rfam family "Bacterial small subunit ribosomal RNA", at positions 28 to 507 of the family's 1533-position model. The record is from RNAcentral.